Molecule: transfer RNA, 74 nt
Filed under: uncultured marine group II/III euryarchaeote KM3_185_F09
Lineage: Archaea; Methanobacteriati; Methanobacteriota
Description: tRNA-Asp
Rfam family: tRNA
About the family: Transfer RNA (tRNA) molecules are approximately 80 nucleotides in length. Their secondary structure includes four short double-helical elements and three loops (D, anti-codon, and T loops). Further hydrogen bonds mediate the characteristic L-shaped molecular structure. tRNAs have two regions of fundamental functional importance: the anti-codon, which is responsible for specific mRNA codon recognition, and the 3' end, to which the tRNAs corresponding amino acid is attached (by aminoacyl-tRNA synthetases). tRNAs cope with the degeneracy of the genetic code in two manners: having more than one tRNA (with a specific anti-codon) for a particular amino acid; and 'wobble' base-pairing, i.e. permitting non-standard base-pairing at the 3rd anti-codon position.
Source: RNAcentral
GCGGACAUAGUGUAAUGGAAACAUCAGAGGUUGUCGAUCUCUGGCUCGGGGUUCAAUUCCCCGUGUCCGCGCCA